AAUAAGCGGAGGAAAAGAAACCAACAGGGAUUGCCUUAGUAGCGGCGAGUGAAGCGGCAAAAGCUCAAAUUUGAAAUCUGGCUCUUUCAGAGUCCGAGUUGUAAUUUGAAGAAGGUAUCUUUGGGUCUGGCUCUUGUCUAUGUUUCUUGGAACAGAACGUCACAGAGGGUGAGAAUCCCGUGCGAUGAGAUGAUCCAGGCCUAUGUAAAGUUCCUUCGAAGAGUCGAGUUGUUUGGGAAUGCAGCUCUAAGUGGGUGGUAAAUUCCAUCUAAAGCUAAAUAUUGGCGAGAGACCGAUAGCGAACAAGUACAGUGAUGGAAAGAUGAAAAGAACUUUGAAAAGAGAGUGAAAAAGUACGUGAAAUUGUUGAAAGGGAAGGGCUUGAGAUCAGACUUGGUAUUUUGUAUGUUACUUCUUCGGGGGUGGCCUCUACAGUUUAUCGGGCCAGCAUCAGUUUGGGCGGUAGGAGAAUUGCGUUGGAAUGUGGCACGGCUUCGGUUGUGUGUUAUAGCCUUCGUCGAUACUGCCAGCCUAGACUGAGGACUGCGGUUUAUACCUAGGAUGUUGGCAUAAUGAU
RNAcentral lists this ribosomal RNA (577 nucleotides) under Candida tropicalis. RNAcentral's name for it is "eukaryotic LSU rRNA". It matches the Rfam family "Eukaryotic large subunit ribosomal RNA", at positions 45 to 638 of the family's 3401-position model. The record is from RNAcentral. Lineage: Eukaryota; Fungi; Ascomycota; Pichiomycetes; Serinales; Debaryomycetaceae.